Long non-coding RNA from Haliotis rubra (blacklip abalone), 199 nucleotides. RefSeq lists it as uncharacterized. The transcript is spliced from 3 exons. Lineage: Eukaryota; Metazoa; Mollusca; Gastropoda; Lepetellida; Haliotidae. The record is from RefSeq and is a predicted model, not a curated record.
AAACUGGGCAGCUUCUUCGGCACGUCAAGGCGGAGAGUCAGUGUGCACCUCCGAGGUUCUGCCAGCUGCCCAGGAGAGCUUCAUCCAGCCCCAAGCACCCCAGGGGACUGCCAAGCUGGGCCACUUCCUCGGCACGUCAAGGCGGAGAGUCAGUGUGCACCUCCGAGGUUCUGCCAGCUGCCCAGGAGAGCUUCAUCCA